UUUCCUUCAUGUAGAUUGCUGUGUGUGUCUUUUUCUUCAUAAUUCCCCUUAAUUCUGUGUGCUUUGAAUGACACUGUUGUUGUUACUGUUGUUUUAUAUCCAUUGUCACAUAAAACUCUUAUCAUUUAUUCUUCCAGGCCAGGGACUGUCCUUAUGGGUAGAGAUACACUAUCUGCAGGAAUUUAUUUUUUUACGUAUUUUUACUAGUUGAUGGGAAAGACAUUGGGAAAGACCUGGGCUGGAUUUGUGAUGAGCUGUGUUUACUGAGCAUGAUGAAGUAAAGCUCAACGUGAUUACUCUGAAGUCCAGCCUUACUGUCAGUCUAAGGACUCAGGAUACAAAUACUCAAAACAUAAAUUCUUAGACUCUAAAUUUCACAUGGUUUUUCCUAUCAGUACAGGUUAAGGAUAAUGGCGUGUUGUAGGUUUUUCCAGUGCAAUACAAGGAAGUUGGUUCUAGAUCCUUUAGUACAGUUAAUGUUUUGUAGAGUGUGUUCUAUGUUCACUGCAUUGGUAUGUCUCAUCUUUGGCAUGAUCUUGGCUCACCGCAACCUCCGCCUCUUGCAUUCAAGCACUUCUUGUCUCAGCCUCCAGAGUAGCUGGGAUUACAAGCAUGUGCCAACAUGCCCGGCUAAUUUUUGUAUGCUUUUGUGGAGACAGGCUUUGCCAUGUUUGCCAGGUUGGUCUCUAAGUGAUCCACCCGCCUCAGCCCCACAAAGUGCUGGGAUUACAUGCGUGAGCCACCGUACCCAGCCACACCUUUGCUUAUUUCUACUAUGCAUUUCAAGUGAUCAUUUCAAGAGAAUAAGUACUUAGGAGCUCCUAUGCUCUUUUUUUUUUUAACCCUGUUGCUUGCAUCACCCGGUUCCAACCCUAUAUGAAAGUUUCAUGAGCAUGUUUCUGUCACUGAGGCAGCUUCUCCAUUUGGCAUAUAAUUGAGAAAUUGCUAGUUUGUGGCUGAGACAUUGGUUUGAGAGGAGACGUAAUUUAUAUAUUUAGCAGAAUGCUUAAGUUACAUUUCCAGAGAUUAAUUUAAUUCUACUUUUAAUUAAGUUAACCCUUUGCUGUAUCUUUACAAGACGUAGGUGGAGAUUUAAUUUUGACUCUUAGAUUCAGUUAAGGUGAUGAAAUUGGCAUUAUAUAGUUUUUGAUGCUGAGCCCCACGGAGAUUAAAAGAUUUGCUAAACACCAUGCAAUUUUUGAAUCACAUCUCUAAUCUCACAUUAUUCUGUACUCUAUUUUUUGCUUGUAUGAUUGAUGGGUCUUUCAUUAUCUGUGAUUGACAUUCUAUGAGUAGGUGCUUUUGCUUUGCCUAUAAGUCGUUAUUAUGAAGGAGGAAUGGUGAAUAAGAAGGUAAUUUAGAAAAGCCUAUAUUAAAUAUACCAUGAACAUUGAAUAUAGCAAGAUCUUAUUCUCUAGUUGUUAUCUUAGUUGAUAAAUUCUGUAUGUGUUAUGUGUUUGUGUAUACAUAUGUACAUAUUAAUGAUGUGGGUGUUGAUACUGUGAUCACAUGACAAAUGACUGGUUUAUAGUGAAAAGCUGUUGGGGUUCAGAGAAAUGAACAUUCUUCUAAAAGUGAGGUAGAUAAGUUAUUUUAUAGUUCUUGCCUUUGAGUCUCUGUUCUUCUGGUAGAAAUGUUAGUGUAUUUAUAACCUCUCAGAUUUGUUUGGUUCUCUUAGUGUUCUUGAUCCAGGCAGUUAGCGAUAUGUUGGAUGAAUUGAGAAAAAUGAGUUUUUCCUUUCCUACUAACUGAAUUAGAUUAGAAAUAAGCAGUUAAGUGAGAAAAAUAGGGAAUUAGUGCCAGAUAUGUUGAGGUGUAGUGUUGACAGGGGGUCUUUUACCUUCAGAUGUUUGGUGCAACUUAGAGAAUGCAGUGGUAGUUGCUGGCCCAGCCCAUCCAAACAACCUCAUUUGUGGGGUGAUACUUCACAGAUGACUUAAAAUAAAUCCCCUGAAAAUAAGAAUCUCUGGAAGAGAUGACACGUGUAUGUGCGUGUGUGCACGUGUGUGCGUGUGUGCACGUGUGUGUGUGUGUGUGUUUUGGUGGAGUGGUAGGAGGAGGGUUGGCUUAAUGAUGAGAAUCAUUAUUUCUUGAAUUGGAUGACACUUUCCAUUCCUGCAAAGGGAGCGUGAGGUCCAGCCUUGCUAAUUCAUGAUCAAAGUAAUUUGCUGAGAGUAGUGGAAGGAAUGAGUUAGCAGAAGAUGGCAAAUUGCAUUAAUGAGUAGUAGGAGGAAAACAAAUAAGCAAAUUUUAAUGUGGUUGGAACAUGUUCCUGAGUUGUAUGAAGGGAGACAGGUAAAUUGAGAGUAAUGUUAUGAUUGUUUCAUUUGUUGGAAAUAAGGAAAACUUGCAUGGUUUGAAUUGUGGAACAAUAGGUGGUGUAUGUUAGGAGUCAGAAUUAUCAUUUAACAUGUAAGUUUCUGUUUUACUUCAGAUAAAGAAUGUCAGCUACCUUUCCCAUGUUAGCUUCUAUACCUUUUCUUGAGGUGACCAUAAAUAGGUAAUAUUGUCUUUCACUGAGAUUGUUUUAAUUAGCGAAGUGUGCUGAUUAAAUGUCUUUUCUUGAUAAAUUAUUAGAAUGAAUAAAGGAUGGUAUUUCUAGAUAGCCUUGGUUAGUCAGUGAUUUGUUUAAAUUUAGUGUGGAUAAGAAUCACCUGAGGGCUUUUUAAACACAGUUUACUGGGUCCUGACCUUAGUGUUUCUGGCUUAUUAGGUAUAAGUAUGAGAAGUUGAUUUUUAUCAAGUUUCUAGAUGCUACAGAUCUAGGAACCAUACUUAGAGUGCUAUUAUAUGUCUUUUAAUGUACACUGAUAUGGAAAAAGCAAUGAUACAUCAUGUUAUCGCAUAUUUUAAAAUGUGAUCAUGACCAGGGAAUCUUGAAAGUUGUCUUAUGUAAUAAUGUAAAUCAAUGUAGAAUACCAUAUAUUUUUUUCUUGCAAGGUUAUUAUUAAUAGGAAUGACUAUUUGUAGCCAAUGUGUUCAAAUGCAUGGGAGGACGUAAACACUUCAUAAUUUCCUGGAAAUACAGACAUAUAUCACUUAAAAUAAUACAUUUCUAAUAUAAAUUUAAAUUAUCUACGUGAUAUGAGGAAACGAGCUUAUUUUUGAUAAUUUUCCUAGCAGUGAAUCAACUAUACUCAUUUGAAUCUAAAUUAAAUUAAAUUUGAGUAAAUUCAGCCAUUUCUAAAUUCAGUCCAUAUAAAUUCACUUUGGGUAAAAGAAGACAAAAUUCCUGAAAACAGUAGAUUAAAAAAAUAACAUUUUAAGAGCAGGUAUGAUCUCAAUGAAUAUAGUGUGGUAAUUUCUGCCUAAUACCUACCCUUUUGGAGGAAGGAAAGGUAAUCCUGUUUGUGUUUAAUGUUAAUUACUGAAC
Molecule: long non-coding RNA, 3373 nt
Organism: Homo sapiens (human)
Lineage: Eukaryota; Metazoa; Chordata; Mammalia; Primates; Hominidae
Gene: PWAR5
Product: Prader Willi/Angelman region RNA 5
Exons: 1
Source: RefSeq, marked validated